UCGGUAGUUCAGCUGGUUAGAACGCUAGCCUGUCACGCUAGAGGUCGUGGGUUCGAUCCCCAUCCG
Molecule: transfer RNA, 66 nt
Filed under: human gut metagenome
Also listed under: 1 other name
Rfam family: tRNA
About the family: Transfer RNA (tRNA) molecules are approximately 80 nucleotides in length. Their secondary structure includes four short double-helical elements and three loops (D, anti-codon, and T loops). Further hydrogen bonds mediate the characteristic L-shaped molecular structure. tRNAs have two regions of fundamental functional importance: the anti-codon, which is responsible for specific mRNA codon recognition, and the 3' end, to which the tRNAs corresponding amino acid is attached (by aminoacyl-tRNA synthetases). tRNAs cope with the degeneracy of the genetic code in two manners: having more than one tRNA (with a specific anti-codon) for a particular amino acid; and 'wobble' base-pairing, i.e. permitting non-standard base-pairing at the 3rd anti-codon position.
Source: RNAcentral